GGCGAAGAGGUCACACCCGUUCCCAUGCCGAACACGGAAGUUAAGCUCUUCAGCGCCGAUGGUAGUUGGGGGAUUCCCCCUGUGAGAGUAGGACGUUGCCAGGC
RNAcentral lists this ribosomal RNA (104 nucleotides) under Bacillus capparidis. The record is from RNAcentral. Lineage: Bacteria; Bacillati; Bacillota; Bacilli; Caryophanales; Bacillaceae.